GUCUAUGGCCAUACCACCCUGAAUGCGCCCGAUCUUGUCUGAUCUCAGAAGCUAAGCAGGGUCGGGCCUGGUUAGUACUUGGAUGGGAGGAUAAUGGCCUCCAGCUCCAUCCACA
RNAcentral lists this ribosomal RNA (115 nucleotides) under Aotus nancymaae (Ma's night monkey). The record is from RNAcentral. Lineage: Eukaryota; Metazoa; Chordata; Mammalia; Primates; Aotidae.